CGAAUCUUGCCGAUGAUAUUUUGAUGUUGUCUGGAAGGUACCAAUAUAUCUCAGGAUGAAGAAGGGCUUGUUGCGUAGGCUUAAAGGAGGCAUCCUGUGGUUAUCAGUAAUGUUGUUCCCAUUUCUCCAAAUCCAAUGGUGCUCAGGGUGAUGAAAGUGAAGUAAAAGCCUUCUCCAUAGCUCCAGCCUUCUACAUAACUGAAGACUAAUGGCGGGAACACUAGAAAAAGCAAAGUCCCAGUGGACAAGAAGAUGGCCACUGCCAGUGUUUGAACCACCUGAAAGAUAAAGCGAAGAUGGCAGCUAAGCAGCAUGGAGCAGUUGUCUUGUUGAAA
Molecule: long non-coding RNA, 335 nt
Organism: Pseudopipra pipra
Lineage: Eukaryota; Metazoa; Chordata; Aves; Passeriformes; Pipridae
Exons: 3
Source: RefSeq, a predicted model, not a curated record